Molecule: ribosomal RNA, 735 nt
Filed under: Chaetoceros socialis
Lineage: Eukaryota; Bacillariophyta; Thalassiosirophyceae; Chaetocerotales; Chaetocerotaceae
Description: partial large subunit ribosomal RNA
Rfam family: Eukaryotic large subunit ribosomal RNA
Source: RNAcentral
GGCGAGUGAAGCGGGAAGAGCUCAUUCUGUGAAUCUGUAUGCUCUUUUGGUAUACCGAGUUGUAGAAUAUAGAAGCACAUCAGUGCGAAUUCCGGUCUAAGUCUCUUGGAAAAGAGCAGCUAAGAGGGUGAGACUCCCGUUCUUGGCUGGAAUUCAAACUUUAGCAUGUGGUUUCGACGAGUCGAGUUGCUUGGGAUUGCAGCUCAAAGUUGGUGGUAAAUUCCAUCUAAAGCUAAAUAUCGGUGGGAGACCGAUAGCGUACAAGUACCGUGAGGGAAAGAUGCAAAGAACUUUGAAAAAAGAGUUAAAGAGUACCUGAAAUUGCUGAAAUGGAAGCGAAGGAAACCAGUGCCGUUCUGUAUCAUUCUUCCGUCCUUGCUUGCGAGGGUGGCGCUGUGAUGCAGGAUAGGCCAGCGUGGGUUUGAGCCGAAGGAAGCAGCUCUUCAGGAGGCAGCGCAAUUUCUGUGCGAUUACUGUUGAGCUUUGCUUCGGCUUGGACUGAGGCUAGUCACUUGUGCUCGUGACGCUGGCGAAAUGGUUUUCUUUACCCCGUCUUGAAACACGGACCAAGGAGUCUAACAUAUGUGCGAGUAUAUGAGUGACAAACUCACAUGCGAAAUGAAAGUAACAGUGGUUGGACCUUCUGGGCACAAUCCGCCGGCCACAAUCCUUCGGGAGAAAGGUCUGAGUGUGAGCAUACAUGUUGGGACCCGAAAGAUGGUGAACUAUGCCUGA